Molecule: ribosomal RNA, 1000 nt
Filed under: Bacillus velezensis
Lineage: Bacteria; Bacillati; Bacillota; Bacilli; Caryophanales; Bacillaceae
Description: bacterial SSU rRNA
Rfam family: Bacterial small subunit ribosomal RNA
Source: RNAcentral
GCCGGGGGGGCGUGCUAAUACAUGCAAGUCGAGCGGACAGAUGGGAGCUUGCUCCCUGAUGUUAGCGGCGGACGGGUGAGUAACACGUGGGUAACCUGCCUGUAAGACUGGGAUAACUCCGGGAAACCGGGGCUAAUACCGGAUGGUUGUUUGAACCGCAUGGUUCAGACAUAAAAGGUGGCUUCGGCUACCACUUACAGAUGGACCCGCGGCGCAUUAGCUAGUUGGUGAGGUAACGGCUCACCAAGGCGACGAUGCGUAGCCGACCUGAGAGGGUGAUCGGCCACACUGGGACUGAGACACGGCCCAGACUCCUACGGGAGGCAGCAGUAGGGAAUCUUCCGCAAUGGACGAAAGUCUGACGGAGCAACGCCGCGUGAGUGAUGAAGGUUUUCGGAUCGUAAAGCUCUGUUGUUAGGGAAGAACAAGUGCCGUUCAAAUAGGGCGGCACCUUGACGGUACCUAACCAGAAAGCCACGGCUAACUACGUGCCAGCAGCCGCGGUAAUACGUAGGUGGCAAGCGUUGUCCGGAAUUAUUGGGCGUAAAGGGCUCGCAGGCGGUUUCUUAAGUCUGAUGUGAAAGCCCCCGGCUCAACCGGGGAGGGUCAUUGGAAACUGGGGAACUUGAGUGCAGAAGAGGAGAGUGGAAUUCCACGUGUAGCGGUGAAAUGCGUAGAGAUGUGGAGGAACACCAGUGGCGAAGGCGACUCUCUGGUCUGUAACUGACGCUGAGGAGCGAAAGCGUGGGGAGCGAACAGGAUUAGAUACCCUGGUAGUCCACGCCGUAAACGAUGAGUGCUAAGUGUUUAGGGGGUUUCCGCCCCUUAGUGCUGCAGCUAACGCAUUAAGCACUCCGCCUGGGGAGUACGGUCGCAAGACUGAAACUCAAAGGAAUUGACGGGGGCCCGCACAAGCGGUGGAGCAUGUGGUUUAAUUCGAAGCAACGCGAAGAACCUUACCAGGUCUUGACAUCCUCUGACAAUCCUAGAAGAUAGGACG